AUUUUAGACUUUCUUGACCAAAAAACCAAAACUGAAAAGAAAAUUUGAUGAGCAAAUUUGACACUCGAGAAGCAUAAAGAAGUAAAUAAAAACUUGUGGGUUUUGAUAAUGUUGAGUUGGGUUGAUUCAUACUUGGGAAAGUGAUAAUCGAAAUAAUAAAGAUAUCUAUGAUUCUUGAGAAAGGUAAGGUACUUAAAGUAAGAAAGAUAACUAAGAUACCUAAAUCACUUAAGAAUUUUUUCACUAUUAGAGCAAUGAAAAGGAGUAUGUAGAGAAAGAAAGAAGGAAGGAAGUUAGUUAAGAUGGACUGACAUUUUAGAAAAGGGGAUUGGAAUGAGGAACACAUGGGGAGAAGAGAAAAGAAGAGAUAGAAGGGGACAAACUCCCUCUCAUUAAGAGGUUUAUGAGAGGUAAAUACAGGAGAAUAUAGGGAGAGGAAUAGCUAUGCUUGAACUUUAAUUACAUCAGAACUAGUUCAAAGUGGGAAUAAUAUCCACAUUGUCGGUUAUAGAAAUCUACCUCAUCCCUUAGGGAAGUCAGAGGGUAGGGAGAGUAAGAAGGAGAGAGGAUAGACAAAAAGAAGUGUAAAUUGGGAGAGAUAGUCAUUGAAAACAAAGCAUUGGGGAACAGGGAAAGGUUAAAAGGGUGCAAUUAUGGGGAGUAGGAAAGAGAACCAUUGGGGUGAAUGGAAUGUUGAGGAUCAACAGUUGCAUGAAGCAAGAAUGACAGCUGGGAACUGAACAAGGACUUCUGGGAAAUUCUCCUGAGGAGCAGAGGCUUGAGGGUGGAGACACAGAAGGAAGUGGAAGAAGGAGAUGUUUCUUGGGGCCAUUCAAGACACUUGUAGAGUGUAGAGUAAAAUCCUAAUAUCAUGGGUUCUUGUUUAAACAUCACUGGUUCCUGUCAAGAAACCUUAUUUCUUCAAAGACUGGCAUUCUUUGAACUAUUGAGAUACUGGACUCAAAUCGGUUGGUGCUGAGGCAAAGAAUCUCCUGCUAAAAAUGAAGUUUGUUCUAGCACACGUUUUGAAAUAGUAAACGGCAUGGUCCUUGAUGGGAAAGAAAAACAAAUAAAGAGACGUUUGUUUUAUUUUCCCUGACUCUC
RNAcentral lists this long non-coding RNA (1104 nucleotides) under Monodelphis domestica (gray short-tailed opossum). RNAcentral describes it as "lncRNA (ENSMODG00000039217.1)". The record is from RNAcentral. Lineage: Eukaryota; Metazoa; Chordata; Mammalia; Didelphimorphia; Didelphidae.